This is an RNA transcript of Lotus japonicus, 1697 nucleotides long. RefSeq lists it as uncharacterized. NCBI's taxonomy places the organism in Eukaryota, Viridiplantae, Streptophyta, Magnoliopsida, Fabales, Fabaceae. The transcript is spliced from 2 exons. The record is from RefSeq and is a predicted model, not a curated record.
GAAACACAUUCAUUAACCUAAAACAUUUCUGCUUCAUCAUGUUCUCUCUUCAGCCGCAGCUUCCUCGCUGGUGGUGGUUGCUAUCGCGGCGGUGUCACAUGGGUUGUGGCUGGCUUCACCACCGCGCCGUGUUCCAGCUUCUGGGCCUCCUCAACCGAAGUUUCUCCUCCGCCUCAAACGAAUCAUCUGCUGCAAGGCCCCCUCCCCCUCCCCCGCCGCCGCAAGCCUUGUUUAUUCCGACCAGAAGCACUUCAAAUCCAAGUGCUCCUCUUUUUAUUCCGCUACAUUGCACCUAUCACAACACCUUAGUAAUAGUACCUGAGCAUCUCUUCGUGGUUUUCAAAGUUUACUUCAUCAUUUUUCCUUCUUUUAGAUAAAAGACAAAGCAUAUUGCUUUAUGAUGUGUUUGUUUAGAUUUACAAUGUUUCUAAUUUUGUUUUAGACAUUGUUUCUUCUAGAGUUUAUGGUGAGGAAGAACACGCAUGCCUUGUGAAUGAUAAAAGUUCACUUAUUUCACUUAUUGUUUCUGACCCAGAAAAUUCUCUAGAGAAUUGGAAAUCCAAGGGUGUUCAUGUUUGUGAUUGGUCUGGUAUCAAAUGCAACAAUGCCAGUGACAGGAUCAUAGAGAUUGAUCUCAGUGGAAGGUCACUAGGAGGCACCAUUUCCCCUGCUCUUGCUAACCUCUCUUCCUUGCAAAUUCUUGAUCUUUCUGGGUUUUUUUUGGUGGGUCACAUUCAUAAAGAGCUAGGAAAUUUAGUUCACCUUGAACAACUCAGUUUAUCAGGGAAUUUUCUUGAAGGAAGCAUUCCCUCUGAGUUUGGUUCACUUCACAACUUGUACUACCUUGACAUGGGAAGCAACCAUCUUGAGGGAGAGAUUCCCCCAUCACUUUUCCACAAUGUGACUUCAUUGAGUUACAUAGACCUUUCUAAUAACUCUUUUCCAUAUAUUUUUAAUUUAACUUCUUUUUCUACCUCUUAAGGUUCCAAAGUAUUGUUAUUUUAGGUUCCAAAGUAAUUUCUUUUGCAGUGUGAUUUUGUCUGCAAGUGGUGAUAAUUAAUUAUUUUCUACUGAUUGCUUGUGUUUGAUUUACCUCAGUUUCAGUGACUGAUCUGAGAUAGUUUUUGAACUCCUCUACACAGCUUUCUCUAGAUCCUACUUGAAUUGCACAACUAUCAUGGUUUUGUUAGUUACCUUGGAGAAGCUGCCUUCCAGAAGGGGUGAAUGUUGUUUGUGCUUUUUGCAGGUCUGCUGAGGAAACAACUGAACACUUAUUAUUCAUGUGCCCUCAACUGUUUAUGCAAUUGUCCUUUAUGAACUCACAGUGUCAGUAUGAUCACCAUAUCUGAUACGGUUGGGGAUCGGAUCAACACAAAAGCAUUUUCGAAUGUCAUCUUCUACCUCAACUCAUGCAAAAAAUAUUCACUUUUACGAGUCAUACAAUGCCAUCAGAUUAAAGAGACUUCUCCUGGAAGGGGUGGUUAUGUUAUAAACAUCUUUAUUGAAGUUUUCCAUCUUGAUUGAAGUUUCAAGAUCGAAAGUGCAAAGCUAAUGCGUGAAGAUUAUUAUGUAGAAUAGGAAAGUUUCUAUUGAAUAUGAAUUAUGUACUCUUAUUGAAUACACACUAUUGAACUUCAGUAGUUGCACAAUGAUGUAGCAAAAGUUUUGAUUGCAAUAAAAUGAGACUUGAAAUCUAA